RNAcentral lists this long non-coding RNA (632 nucleotides) under Homo sapiens (human). RNAcentral's name for it is "HSALNT0082611". Lineage: Eukaryota; Metazoa; Chordata; Mammalia; Primates; Hominidae. The record is from RNAcentral.
AUGAUAUCCUGUCCAUUGUGAAGCAGGUUAUUGACUGGGGUUUCUCAGUAUUAUGUGGGUUUGGUGGAAAAUAUUAUGUCUGAAAAGUUACUUCAUCUUUUCAGUAACUAUGUACUCCAGUAGAAAGGAUGAAUAAAUAAUGGAAGGAUAAGAGGGAGGAAGAAAGGAAAGACAGGAAGAAAAGAAGGGAGGAAAGGAGAAAGAAGUGAAGGAUGGAAAGAAAGGGAAGAUGGAAUAAAAAAAAGGAAGGAGGAAGAGAGAAGAAAGAAGAAAGGAAGAAACUGCCACAGGAACUCGAGCCUUCAGCAGCUACCAUCUUGAUCAGUCUGCGGCCAUCUACACUGAAGCUAAUUCCUCCACCAGCAAAAAGCCUAUGACUCCCUGAAGUCUCAGGUGACCAUUAGCAUUUUUAACAGUAAAGUAUUUUUAAAUUUAUGUACAUUUCUUAGACAUAAUGUUCUUGCAAACUUAAUAGAAUAUACUGUAGUGUAAACAUAACUUUUGUAUGCACUGGGAAACUCCAAAAUUUGGAUGACUCACUUUAUAGUGAGAUUCACUUUAUUUUGGUGGCCUAACACCAACCUGCAGAAUCUCUGAGGUAUGAGUAUGGCUGUACUUAUCAUCUCAGCCUG